This 189-nucleotide ribosomal RNA is filed under the name Leptospira selangorensis. Its description in RNAcentral is "partial 23S ribosomal RNA". It matches the Rfam family "Bacterial large subunit ribosomal RNA", at positions 2744 to 2925 of the family's 2925-position model. The record is from RNAcentral. Lineage: Bacteria; Pseudomonadati; Spirochaetota; Leptospiria; Leptospirales; Leptospiraceae.
AGUAGCUAUGUUCGGCAGGAAUAACCGCUGAAAGCAUAUAAGUGGGAAAUCCUUCUGAAGAUAAGAUCUCCCUGGGGGCAACCCCCUGAAGAGCCCGGGAAGAUGACCCGGUUGAUAGGUCAUAGAUGUAAGUGUGGUAACACAUUGAGUCGAGUGAUACUAAUAGCUCGUGAGGCUUGACCAUAUUAC